This is an RNA transcript of Mus musculus (house mouse), 5072 nucleotides long. It is a transcript of the gene named integrator complex subunit 6 like, with no coding region annotated. The transcript has 11 exons. The record is from RefSeq and is marked validated. Lineage: Eukaryota; Metazoa; Chordata; Mammalia; Rodentia; Muridae.
GCUGAUGGUAGGUGAGCAGACAGAAGUUGUGUCAGUGAACAGAGAGGGCUCUCAGUCUGGGGCGAGCGCUCUAGUGAGCGUGGACGGAUGCUUAGGCAGUAGUCCUGGCAGCGGCAGCGGCGGCGGGCAGUAGUGGUGGCAGAAGAGGGGAAGAGAGACGGCCCGGAGACCGACACACUCACACUUUCAAGUUCCCUUGGAGGGAGAGGAGUUGGGGCUGCAGAAAGAGGCCAGGAGCGGUCCCAUCUAUCCCAUCCCGUUUCCCACUUUUCCUCUUGCUCCCUGGCUCUGCGAGAGUUCAGGAUUUGGGUAGCCAUACGUGGCAUUGAGGGAAAAGGGACUGGGAGAGUGGGGACCAGAACCAGGGGUGUAGUGGAAGAUGCCCAUCCUGCUGUUCCUCAUAGAUACGUCCGCCUCCAUGAACCAGCGCACUGACCUGGGCACCUCCUAUUUGGACAUUGCUAAAGGCGCUGUGGAGUUAUUCUUGAAGCUGCGCGCCCGGGACCCAGCCAGCCGCGGAGACAGGUACAUGCUGGUCACCUACGAUGAGCCUCCCUACUGCAUCAAGGCUGGUUGGAAGGAAAAUCACGCCACAUUCAUGAAUGAACUGAAAAAUCUCCAGGCUUCUGGACUGACUACUCUUGGUCAGGCUCUAAGAUCCUCCUUUGAUUUGUUAAAUCUCAAUAGAUUAAUAUCUGGAAUAGACAAUUAUGGACAGGGGAGAAAUCCAUUUUUUUUAGAGCCGUCUAUUUUAAUUACCAUCACAGAUGGAAACAAGUUAACAAGUACUGCUAGCGUUCAAGAAGAGCUUCAUCUUCCUUUGAAUUCUCCUCUGCCUGGAAGUGAACUAACCAAAGAACCUUUUCGUUGGGAUCAAAGGUUAUUUGCCCUGGUGUUGCGUUUGCCUGGAGUGGCUUCUACUGAGCCAGAGCAGCUAGGGAGUGUCCCAAGUGAUGAAUCAGCCAUCACACAGAUGUGCGAGGUCACAGGAGGUCGCUCCUACUGUGUGAGAACACAAAGAAUGUUAAAUCAGUGUUUAGAGUCACUAGUUCAAAAAGUACAGAGUGGUGUAGUUAUUAAUUUUGAGAAAACAGGACCGGAUCCACUUCCUGUUGGAGAAGACACACUGAUGGAGUUGUGCAGGCCAAGCAACCUAUUUGCUGCUCAACCGUGGCAUAGUUGUCAUAAACUCAUCUAUGUGCGACCUAAUUCUAAAACUGGUGUUCCUGUUGGACACUGGCCAAUUCCAGAAUCGUUUUGGCCAGAACAGAAUUUACCUUCACUACCUCCACGAACAUCACAUCCUGUUGUGAGGUUUUCCUGUGUUGAUUGUGAACCAAUGGUUAUAGACAAACUUCCCUUUGACAAAUAUGAACUUGAACCGUCUCCCUUAACUCAGUAUAUCUUGGAAAGAAAAUCUCCUCAUACUUGCUGGCAGGUGUUUGUUACCAGCAGUUCAAAAUAUAAUGAGCUUGGAUAUCCAUUUGGUUAUUUGAAAGCGAGUACUACUUUAACUUGUGUAAACCUCUUUGUGAUGCCUUACAACUACCCAGUCUUACUUCCUCUUUUAGAUGACUUGUUUAAAGUGCACAAGCUUAAGCCAAAUCUGAAGUGGCGACAGGCUUUUGACAGCUACUUAAAAACUCUGCCUCCAUACUACUUAAUAGUAUGUAUUUUUUGUGUGUGUAUAUAUGUAUAUGUAAACUGUAACUGAUGAUUCUUGUUGUAAGGAAUAAGGAAUCAAAAGCUUUACCCCCCCCCCCGCGAGAAGAUAACUAUCUUUUUACUUUACAAACAUUUGUGUCGUCAUUGUCUUCUCAAAUUGUAUGCAAGAGUUUAGAGGUGACAUGGCGGCACAAAAGAGCAUUGUCUUUCUCUGUUUCCUUUAUUUUUAACUGCCAUGGUCAUUGUUCUCAACACAUCUAUGUUUUUCUUAUUACAACUAACCUUACCCAAUUGUAAUUCUGGAAUGUGAGAACAAAUAAUGUCUCAAUUCAUGCACACCAACUUCCCUUUUGAACUCUAGAAGCUCAGUGUGGCAUUUCAUUCCUUAAACAAAAUUUGGAAGAAAUCGUAGUUCUUUAUUACCAGUUAAAUGCAUCCUUGACACAACAUGAUGUAAACCAUUCGCAUUAGAGAGCAUCUAAGGAAGAGAAAAACGUGGCUUGGCUUCCUUCUGGUUUUGAAUCUUUUGAGAAAACUAUGCGGAAUGAUUCUGAACCGGUCACGUAAUCAAGAUGAUCAAGGCCAUUUCUGAGGUCGUUGUCAUAACUUACUGCCACCUUUCUAGAGGUUAAAAGGCAUAGACUUCAAUGGGACCAUUGCUGGGAGGGGAAGUGGGGUGUGUUCCUAUUUACCAUGGCAAGUGUGGGCUUUGUAAUCCGAUGCAGUGGGAAGUGAUUUGAUGAUGGGAUUAAAACUGAAAGCAAUGUACUUGUUUGCAUUGGCUGCUACUGGCUCUUCUUACCCACUCUCUUCUGAUUUUUUUCUGCUCCUUACUUCUCUGCUAUUUUCAUUGCCACUUUUGAAUGUUCCAUGUUUGGUUUUAUGUGCAGCACCUUGACUUCUAAGAAAUGAAUCAUGUCCCCCUUGCCCCUUAUAACUGAACUUUUGAGUAUUUAAGAUUUAUUCUAUUCUUACUGUUGUGUAUUUUGUUUCCUUAUAGCCAUUAAAGAAAGCACUAAGGAUGAUGGGAGCUCCAAAUCUGAUAUCAGAUAAUUUAGAUUGUGGACUUAGUUACAGUGUUAUCUCUUACCUUAAAAAACUCAGCCAACAGGUAGUAUUGGUAAAAUCGAACAAACCAAAAUCCUUUGCCCUCAGAAGUGCAUUUCCUUAUUCUUUAGUGUAAUUGUAACUUUUCAAAUUAAAUGUGUAUAUAUCUCUACACUUUAUGGAUUAGUAAUAAUGUGAUUCUCUGUGGCUUCUAGCUUUACCAUUAAACGCAGUUAAGGGUCUGUCAGUAUCAUUGGAUGCUGUGCCGUCUCUCCUUCUGCCUGCCAGUUUGUCCUGCCCAUAUGCUGGCUGAUAUUUUGUGGCCUAAGAGGGGCAGAAGCUUAACAGGAUUCUCUUGUGGGUCCCAUUUUGUCUGUCCUCCAACUAGUUUCUCCUCAAUUCACUUGGCUAGAGCAUCCCCCUUUUGUGAGUCAGCACACCAAGGUCUGGUGGGAUUCAAUGCUUUGCCCACUCUUCAGGCAUCAUGUAAAGUUCUUAUCCUCACAUGCUAGCCCUUGGAUAAAUAGCUGCCUGCUUUACCCUGGAGAAGGGGGCACCUGAGACCAGUAUUCUUCAACCUGGAGGGCAAUAGACCUUCAUCUUUCCCUUUAGACCCGCCUCAUUCACCAUUAUUCAACUUGUCCCUUGCCUGCCCCUCUCUAUUAGCACCUCAUCUUCCACUCACCCCUCCUUAUCAUAUUUCUCACUCUUACCUAGACCAUUCUUGUAGGAUGGAGAUAUUUGGAAAUUACUAUGCUAUGGCCAUACAACUGUGUGGUGUGAUAAAUGAAUGCAGCUGCUUUACUCUCAUAUUCACAAAGGCAGUUUUAGGUAGGGAGUAGCACUUGCAGCAACCACAGCAUUUCAAGCUGAGCACGUUUUGCAAAUUUGGCCUUUAGAAAACUGAGUCUUAAGCAAAGUGUCAGCUUUCACUAAGGGACCUGGAGGGCUUCAUAAUUGGGAUGCUGACACACCUUGCUAGGAAUGAGCAAAAACUUAAACCCAAAUUCUAAAGCUCACAAGAGCAUACUAGUCUAGCAUGCUCAUAAGUGCAAAAGAAAACAAAGGCAAGCCCUGACUUUUGACCUAACGAGUCCCCUAACUCCCGGGCCUCCCUGCUAAUAGAUUGUUAUUGUUGUAAAUACCUUGGCUAUUUAUGGAUCUAUUGAUCUAAUAUAUAUUUUAAUUUGAUGUUUAUGUUGGGCCUUUAAGGCUUUGUCAAGGUAUGGCCAGAAAGGAAGAAAAGUGCACAGAGUUGAAACUAAAUGCUGGGACCUUGUGGGACACAUAUCCUUUUAUUGAAUGAACUUUUACGGUCAUUCAAGAAAACAGACCCCUUAUCUACUUCUGUCUCAUAUUUCAUGACUUAAGAAUUUGUUUGAGUUCAUAUUUAUAUGAGUUCAAAAAUAUAUUCCAAAGUUAGUUAGGGAAAAUAAAUAUCUCUGGCCAACUCAUAAAAACUAAAAAAAAAAAAUUAUUGGGGGCUUAUUGAACAUUAAUGGAAUUUUAUCUUUUAGAAAAAGGAAAGAUUGCUACUAAUUUCUUAUUCUCUAAUUACUAAUUAAAUAUCUAUAUCACCAUUGUUCCCUGAACCAUCUUAGAUGUAUCUAAAACACAAAAUAUGCCAAAAUCCCUACUUUUAUUCAGUCAAACAGAAUCAAGUGAUAAAAUGUCUUUUAAGGAGAUUUCCCAAUGUUUGUUAGUGAUAAACUUACUGAGUAGACAUUAAAAGUCAUUUGCUUAGUAAUAUUUGUUCAAAUAAGCUUUAGUUUUAUAAGACUUACUGGAUAAUCUGAUUUUUUUAAAAAAUCAACAUCAUUUUUAAUGUUUUCAGAUAUAAUGCCAAUCUAUAUAUGUUCUGAAUCUAAACAAUACAUGUAUAAGUACAGACUUUUAAACCUUUCUGUCUGGAUCAAAACUGAAUGAGUUGAUUUAGAUUGGAUUUUGCAGUAAUGAGAUAUAGUUUUUCAUGUCUAUGAAUGAAAUUCUUGCCCAUGGUUUCUAUUUUCUCCAUGAGUCGUUCAUAGUUUUGACACUCCAAGAGACACUUUGCAUGAAGUCCUCUGUCUUUCCAGUCCCCUCUGUGUUUGCUGGGGUAGAACAGAGAAGCAUAGAGGAGGUUCACUUACUGUUUUUCUGUGAUUUGCACAUGAAAACUGUUUGGUGGGGUUCUUAAAAGUAUUUUUUCUUAAAGAAUAAAAUGAUGAUAUGGUAGAUAUUUUCAUAACAUAUUCUGUACUUCCCUUUUAGACCAAGCUAGAGUCAGACCAAAUUCUAGCAUCAGUGGGGAAGAAACCUCCCCAGGAAAUUGGUAUCAAAGUGAAAAACCAUUCUGCAUGUGGCCUACCCUUGGCUCACAA